GACAGUUUGGAAUCGGGUAUAAAAGAGAGGCUGGCAGCUCCUCGCUCCUCAAUCCAUUGGGUCGGCUUCACCUCUUUGCUCCGUCUUGUGAAUUUGGGUUUAUCCACCCACUUUUGGAAACAUGUCCCAGUGCAAGCAAGGCUGCAAGGCACCCCCCACCAAAUGUCCCCCCAAAACUGCCCCGUGCUGCCCCCCAGCCGUGAAGUGUCCCCCCAAAACGGUCCCCUGCUGUCCUCCGGUUGUAAAGUGUCCCCCCCAAACCAAGCAACCUCCCAAGGGCUGCUGUUGAUGAUGUUCUUUCUCGGCCGCUGGAAAACCGAGGGGAGCUCCCCGCCAAAGCAAUUCCACAUUGAUCACCUGCCGGACCUCGCUGACGCCAUCGAAGCCAGUCCUCUCUGCACUCUGCUUUGACAUUUUGCUUUCUCCAAAAAUGUUUGGGUUUUGCUUCAUCCCAUCCUAUACAGCCCUGCUGCAUCACCCCAGCAUUUCAGGGAGUCUCGUUGACCAACUGAGCUCCUGUCUGGAAUCUCCUCCUUGAGACGUCAGGACCCUGCCAUGCUAAUGUGAAAAGCUCAAAAUACCAUGACAGGUUUCCUCACCCUCACAGGCAGGUGAAUGGCAAUAAAAUCAGCUAAUUUCCCAGCA
Zootoca vivipara (common lizard) is the source of this 645-nucleotide long non-coding RNA. RefSeq lists it as uncharacterized. NCBI's taxonomy places the organism in Eukaryota, Metazoa, Chordata, Lepidosauria, Squamata, Lacertidae. The record is from RefSeq and is a predicted model, not a curated record.